Molecule: ribosomal RNA, 492 nt
Filed under: uncultured bacterium
Lineage: Bacteria
Description: partial 16S ribosomal RNA
Rfam family: Bacterial small subunit ribosomal RNA
Source: RNAcentral
AGUGAACGCUGGCGGUAGGCCUAACACAUGCAAGUCGAACGGCAGCACAGUAAGAGCUUGCUCUUACGGGUGGCGAGUGGCGGACGGGUGAGGAAUACAUCGGAAUCUACUUUUUCGUGGGGGAUAACGUAGGGAAACUUACGCUAAUACCGCAUACGCCCUACGGGUGAAAGCAGGGGAUCUUCGCACCUUGCGCGAUUGAAUGAGCCGAUGUCGGAUUAGCUAGUUGGCGGGGUAAAGGCCCACCAAGGCGACGAUCCGUAGCUGGUCUGAGAGGAUGAUCAGCCACACUGGAACGGAGACACGGACCAGACUCCUACGGGAGGCAGCAGUGGGGAAUAUUGGACAAUGGGCGCAAGCCUGAUCCAGCCAUACCGCGUGGGUGAAGAAGGCCUUCGGGUUGUAAAGCCGUUUUGUUGGGAAAGAAAAGCAGCAGGUUAAGACCCCGCGGUUCUGACGGUACCCAAAGAAUAAGCACCGGCUAACUUCGUG